AGGUCCAGCCUGCCCAGUGAUAACAUGUAACGGCCGCGGUACCCUAACCGUGCGAAGGUAGCAUAAUCACUUGUUCUUUAAAUGAGGACUUGUAUCAAUGGCAUCACGAGGGUUUCACUGUCUCCUUUUUCUAAUCAGUGAAACUGAUCUCUCCGUGAAGAAGCGGAGAUUUUUUUAUAAGACGAGAAGACCCCAUGGAGCUUUAAACCCAAUUACACUCCUAUUUUUUAUUAACCUCUUAGACUAUGGAUAUUUGUAUAUUUGGUUUUAGGUUGGGGUGACCACGGAGCAUAACUUAGCCUCCAUGAUGAACGGGAUUUUACCCCUUAUCCAAGAACUACACCUCUAAGAACUAGUAUUCUAACAUAAAAUGAUCCGAUAAUCGAUCAACGAACCAAGUUACCCUGGGGAUAACAGCGCAAUCCACUUCAAGAGCUCCUAUCGACAAGUGGGUUUACGACCUCGAUGUUGGAUCAGGGUAUCCUAGUGGUGCAGCAAUUACUAAAGGUUCGUUUGUUCAACGAUUAAAACCCUACGUGAUCUGAGU
Molecule: ribosomal RNA, 547 nt
Filed under: Mantella baroni
Lineage: Eukaryota; Metazoa; Chordata; Amphibia; Anura; Mantellidae
Description: partial 16S ribosomal RNA
Rfam family: Bacterial large subunit ribosomal RNA
Source: RNAcentral